Molecule: long non-coding RNA, 448 nt
Filed under: Ananas comosus (pineapple)
Lineage: Eukaryota; Viridiplantae; Streptophyta; Magnoliopsida; Poales; Bromeliaceae
Description: long non-coding RNA (ACOM_LNC042685)
Source: RNAcentral
AGGGGACAAUACAUCAACAUUAAAGUCACUAUUUAAACAUUCUAGAAUAAUACCCCUGAGAUAAAAUUAUCUAUUUUCAACGAAAAUUAUCAAACACGGAGGGUUUCCCGACAAUGUCAUCACACCACACAGUGAGUCAUCGUCCGUAACUUCAACAACAUCGAAUUGAUUCAUCUCGGUCGAAUAUCGGACUUUGAUAAUUAGACGAUACUCAUCCCUCGGAGUAUCAGUUAAUCUAUAUAUUUUUUCUCUCGAAUUCUAUAAAUGUAAUAUCCACUGGAAUACCACUUAAUUUCUUACAACCGGCAAUGUACUUUGGAUUGUUAUCGUGCAUCAAUAUUUCUCCAUUCCAAUGAACAACUAUAGCCACAUUACUACGCGUCAUCCUAACUUAAACAAAAUAUAAAAUUUGUAAACAAACAUAAUUAUACCAAUAUUACCAAUAUUU